GAUGAAGAACGCAGCGAAAUGCGAUAAGUAAUGUGAAUUGCAGAAUUCAGUGAAUCAUCGAAUCUUUGAACGCACAUUGCGCCCCUUGGUAUUCCGAGGGGCAUGCCUGUUCGAGCGUCAUUACACCACUCAAGCUAUGCUUGGUAUUGGGUGCCGUCCUUAGUUGGGCGCGCCUUAAAGACCUCGGCGAGGCCUCACCGGCUUUAGGCGUAGUAGAAUUUAUUCGAACGUCUGUCAAAGGAGAGGACUUCUGCCGACUGAAACCUUUUAUUUUUCUAGGUUGACCUCGGAUCAGGUAGGGAUACCCGCUGAACUUAAGCAUAUCAAUAAGCGGAGGA
RNAcentral lists this unclassified non-coding RNA (338 nucleotides) under soil metagenome. Its description in RNAcentral is "partial contains 5.8S ribosomal RNA, internal transcribed spacer 2, and large subunit ribosomal RNA". The stretch from base 1 to 120 matches the Rfam family "5.8S ribosomal RNA", at positions 35 to 154 of the family's 154-position model. The record is from RNAcentral.